GCGCGCUCCCCAAAAUUUUGGCCUGCGUUCCCUCCGUUCUCUCUCUCCCUUUGAACCCAAUGACCUAUUUCUAAACCUCCAUUCUCUCUCUCUCUCUCUUGUUGCUAUUCCUUCCCCGCUUUUGUUUUCUCUCUUCCUUUCCCCCUCUCUCCUCCUCUGUCAUUCUCUGUUGUCUCCUUUAUUUUUCCCCUCUCUCUUUCUCUCCUAUGGGUUUGCAAAUAAAAGGUGUGCAUACCUCUAUUUCAAUAGAGUCUCAUUUCAAUAAACAGGCAUUGGGGUUUGCAAAGUAACGAUGUGUAAAGAAAGUGUAAAUCUGAAAAGCUGUAGAUGGAGUCUGGAGAUGAUAGUAGCAAUACUGGGCCGGCAAUAUAUCCCUCAAGGAAGAACUGGUGGAAUUUCUUCAAGGAUCAAAACUAACCUUUUCAUGGGCUUGAAUGGUUUGAUGCUAGAAUUAAGCUACCAAGUGGUGAUUACUUGCUAGUGCUCUAUUUCAGACCCCCAGGCCCUUUAGAUUGUUGAUUCAAGAUGCCUUACAAUGAGUAGGACAGCAACUCAAAAGUUGGAUCCAUAUUCCAGGCCUUGAAUAUGAAGGAAUCUACACUAACAUAUUUCCAAACAAAUAAAUUUAUUUAUGCUUUUCAAGACAUUGUUGAUGCAUAUGGGGAUUGAAAGCUUGGGGAUUUUAUAUUUGGUGUACAUAUUGCAUUGGCAUUUGUAGCAAAGUUUGUUCCGCUGAGAAAACUAAGAAAGUUGCCAUGUAGAUUUCAUUCUUCAUUAGCAAUUAUGUUUAUCUGUGUAAAAGAAAAAGAAAUACAUUUAUGUAUCUAUAUGCCUUUGCAAAUGCAUGCAUGCCCGUGCCUAUGGAAUAUUGUUUAUCUGGAAUGGAAGAAUUGACAUAUAUUAUUUAUGUCAUAAAGUUGUGUUCUAUAUGGACCUUACAGGAUUCGUCUUUAUUCAAGCCAUUCAUUUAUAGUCAUGUGAAGGUCCUGAUGUGAUUCUCAUUUAUAGUCAUCUGGAAUGGAAGAAUUGAUUUUUAGUAGACUGU
This is a non-coding RNA of Nelumbo nucifera (sacred lotus), 1045 nucleotides long. NCBI's taxonomy places the organism in Eukaryota, Viridiplantae, Streptophyta, Magnoliopsida, Proteales, Nelumbonaceae. The record is from RefSeq and is a predicted model, not a curated record.